GGAAUAUAAGAACCCAUCUCUUAACUUUUAACUAAAAAAGUUAAGAACCGGUUCUUAGCUUUUUUAGUUAAAAGUUAAGAGAAAGGUUCUUAUAUUCC
RNAcentral lists this microRNA precursor (98 nucleotides) under Brassica oleracea var. oleracea. RNAcentral's name for it is "MIR9563 microRNA precursor family". It matches the Rfam family "MIR9563 microRNA precursor family". The record is from Rfam by way of RNAcentral. Lineage: Eukaryota; Viridiplantae; Streptophyta; Magnoliopsida; Brassicales; Brassicaceae.